Molecule: non-coding RNA, 532 nt
Organism: Grammomys surdaster
Lineage: Eukaryota; Metazoa; Chordata; Mammalia; Rodentia; Muridae
Source: the annotation of a RefSeq genome assembly
AGGAGCACAGCCCUGGAUCAGCACUGAACACAGACCGUUCAUCAUGAACUUCAGGCUCAGCUUGGUUUUCCUUGUCCUUAUUUUAAAAGGUGUCCAGUGUGAGGUGAAGCUGGUGGAGUCUGGGGGAGGCUUAAUGCAGCCUGGAAGCACCCUGAAACUCUCUUGUGCAGCCUCUGGAUUCACUUUCAGUAACCACUGGAUGUCCUGGAUCCGGCAGGCUCCAGAAAAGGGGUUGGAGUGGUUGGCAGACAUUAAUAGUGGUGGUAGUACUAUCUACUAUGCAGACAUUGUGAAAGGCCGAUUCACCAUCUCCAGAGACAAUGCCGAGAACACUCUGCACCUGCAAAUGAGCACUCUGAGGUCUGAGGACACAGCCAUGUAUUACUGUGCAAGAGGCACAGUGAGCAAAUGUUAUUGUGAGCUCAAACAUAAACCUCCUGCCGGGCACCCAGGACCAGCAGGGGGCACUGAGAGCACACAGUGUUCUGUGUCACAGAGAGUUACAGCCUGUUCAUUUGUCCUGGAGGAUUGA